CCUACGGGAGACAGCAGUGAGGAAUAUUGGUCAAUGGUCGGAAGCCUGAACCAGCCAAGCCGCGUGAGGGAUGAAGGGCCUAAGUAUCGUAAACCUCUUUUGUCGGGGAACAAAGGCGGGGACGCGUCCCCGGAUGAGUGUACCUGAGGAAAAAGCAUCGGCUAACUCCGUGCCAGCAGGCGCGGUAAUACGGAGGAUGCGAGGGUUAUCCGGAUGUAUUGGGUUUAAGGGGUGCGCAGGCGGUCUGUUAAGUCAGCGGUCAAAGCCCGGGGCUCAACCCCGGCCCGCCGUUGAAACUGGGAGGCUCGAGUGGGAGAGAAGCAUGCGGAAUGCGUGGUGUAGCGGUGAAAUGCAUAGAUAUCGCGCAGAACUCCGAUUGCGAAGGCAGCAUGCCGGCUCCACACUGACGCUGAGGCACGAAAGCGUGGGUAUCGAACAGGAUUAGAUACCCGUGUAGUC
RNAcentral lists this ribosomal RNA (459 nucleotides) under uncultured bacterium. RNAcentral describes it as "partial 16S ribosomal RNA". It matches the Rfam family "Bacterial small subunit ribosomal RNA", at positions 338 to 795 of the family's 1533-position model. The record is from RNAcentral.